ACAUAUAGUAGCUCAAUUGGCAGAGUCCUAGGUUUGGGACCUAGAUGUUGAAGGUUCGAGUCCUUUCUACUAUA
RNAcentral lists this transfer RNA (74 nucleotides) under Crassvirales sp. RNAcentral's name for it is "tRNA-Pro". It matches the Rfam family "tRNA". From Rfam's summary of the family: Transfer RNA (tRNA) molecules are approximately 80 nucleotides in length. Their secondary structure includes four short double-helical elements and three loops (D, anti-codon, and T loops). Lineage: Duplodnaviria; Heunggongvirae; Uroviricota; Caudoviricetes; Crassvirales. The record is from RNAcentral.